AACGCACUUUGCACCUAAUAUUUUUAAUAUGGGUAUACUUGUUUGAGUUUCAUAGUAAAAUAAUCUUUUUAUUUUUAUUUUUUUAAAAAUAAAAAGGAUUUGGGGUAAUUAAAUUUUUAUAAUCAAAAUUUUUUAAUUUUGAAACCCUAAAAUUUGUAAAUUCUUUUUUAUUUUAUUUUAAAAAAGAAAAAAAUAUAAAAAAUUUUAAGCCAAAAUAAAAAUUAAAAAAAUUUAUAAAUUUUUAAUAAAUUAUUUUUUUUUUUGGGGAAAGUUGGAAACGACUUUACCACAGAUUAAAAACUUAUUUUUUUAAAAAAAUAUAAAAAUAAUUUUUAUUUUUUAAAAUUUUUAUAUAUUUAAUAUUAUAAAAAAAAAAAUCGAACUCAAAUUAAGUAAGGCUACCCGCUGAACUUAA
This 415-nucleotide unclassified non-coding RNA is filed under the name uncultured fungus. RNAcentral's name for it is "partial contains ITS1, 5.8S rRNA and ITS2". Lineage: Eukaryota; Fungi. The record is from RNAcentral.